GGGUUGUGAGGUUAAGCGACUAAGCGUACACGGUGGAUGCCCUGGCAGUCAGAGGCGAUGAAGGACGUGCUAAUCUGCGAUAAGCGUCGGUAAGGUGAUAUGAACCGUUAUAACCGGCGAUUUCCGAAUGGGGAAACCCAGUGUGUUUCGACACACUAUCAUUAACUGAAUCCAUAGGUUAAUGAGGCGAACCGGGGGAACUGAAACAUCUAAGUACCCCGAGGAAAAGAAAUCAACCGAGAUUCCCCCAGUAGCGGCGAGCGAACGGGGAGCAGCCCAGAGCCUGAAUCAGUGUGUGUGUUAGUGGAAGCGUCUGGAAAGGCGCGCGAUACAGGGUGACAGCCCCGUACACAAAAAUGCACAUGCUGUGAGCUCGAUGAGUAGGGCGGGACACGUGGUAUCCUGUCUGAAUAUGGGGGGACCAUCCUCCAAGGCUAAAUACUCCUGACUGACCGAUAGUGAACCAGUACCGUGAGGGAAAGGCGAAAAGAACCCCGGCGAGGGGAGUGAAAAAGAACCUGAAACCGUGUACGUACAAGCAGUGGGAGCACGCUUAGGCGUGUGACUGCGUACCUUUUGUAUAAUGGGUCAGCGACUUAUAUUCUGUAGCAAGGUUAACCGAAUAGGGGAGCCGAAGGGAAACCGAGUCUUAACUGGGCGUUAAGUUGCAGGGUAUAGACCCGAAACCCGGUGAUCUAGCCAUGGGCAGGUUGAAGGUUGGGUAACACUAACUGGAGGACCGAACCGACUAAUGUUGAAAAAUUAGCGGAUGACUUGUGGCUGGGGGUGAAAGGCCAAUCAAACCGGGAGAUAGCUGGUUCUCCCCGAAAGCUAUUUAGGUAGCGCCUCGUGAAUUCAUCUCCGGGGGUAGAGCACUGUUUCGGCAAGGGGGUCAUCCCGACUUACCAACCCGAUGCAAACUGCGAAUACCGGAGAAUGUUAUCACGGGAGACACACGGCGGGUGCUAACGUCCGUCGUGAAGAGGGAAACAACCCAGACCGCCAGUUAAGGUCCCAAAGUCAUGGUUAAGUGGGAAACGAUGUGGGAAGGCCCAGACAGCCAGGAUGUUGGCUUAGAAGCAGCCAUCAUUUAAAGAAAGCGUAAUAGCUCACUGGUCGAGUCGGCCUGCGCGGAAGAUGUAACGGGGCUAAACCAUGCACCGAAGCUGCGGCAGCGACGCUGAUGCGUUGUUGGGUAGGGGAGCGUUCUGUAAGCCUGUGAAGGUGUGCUGUGAGGCAUGCUGGAGGUAUCAGAAGUGCGAAUGCUGACAUAAGUAACGAUAAAGCGGGUGAAAAGCCCGCUCGCCGGAAGACCAAGGGUUCCUGUCCAACGUUAAUCGGGGCAGGGUGAGUCGACCCCUAAGGCGAGGCCGAAAGGCGUAGUCGAUGGGAAACAGGUUAAUAUUCCUGUACUUGGUGUUACUGCGAAGGGGGGACGGAGAAGGCUAUGUUGGCCGGGCGACGGUUGUCCCGGUUUAAGCGUGUAGGCUGGUUUUCCAGGCAAAUCCGGAAAAUCAAGGCUGAGGCGUGAUGACGAGGCACUACGGUGCUGAAGCAACAAAUGCCCUGCUUCCAGGAAAAGCCUCUAAGCAUCAGGUAACAUCAAAUCGUACCCCAAACCGACACAGGUGGUCAGGUAGAGAAUACCAAGGCGCUUGAGAGAACUCGGGUGAAGGAACUAGGCAAAAUGGUGCCGUAACUUCGGGAGAAGGCACGCUGAUAUGUAGGUGAAGCGACUUGCUCGUGGAGCUGAAAUCAGUCGAAGAUACCAGCUGGCUGCAACUGUUUAUUAAAAACACAGCACUGUGCAAACACGAAAGUGGACGUAUACGGUGUGACGCCUGCCCGGUGCCGGAAGGUUAAUUGAUGGGGUUAGCGCAAGCGAAGCUCUUGAUCGAAGCCCCGGUAAACGGCGGCCGUAACUAUAACGGUCCUAAGGUAGCGAAAUUCCUUGUCGGGUAAGUUCCGACCUGCACGAAUGGCGUAAUGAUGGCCAGGCUGUCUCCACCCGAGACUCAGUGAAAUUGAACUCGCUGUGAAGAUGCAGUGUACCCGCGGCAAGACGGAAAGACCCCGUGAACCUUUACUAUAGCUUGACACUGAACAUUGAGCCUUGAUGUGUAGGAUAGGUGGGAGGCUUUGAAGUGUGGACGCCAGUCUGCAUGGAGCCGACCUUGAAAUACCACCCUUUAAUGUUUGAUGUUCUAACGUGGACCCGUGAUCCGGGUUGCGGACAGUGUCUGGUGGGUAGUUUGACUGGGGCGGUCUCCUCCUAAAGAGUAACGGAGGAGCACGAAGGUUGGCUAAUCCUGGUCGGACAUCAGGAGGUUAGUGCAAUGGCAUAAGCCAGCUUGACUGCGAGCGUGACGGCGCGAGCAGGUGCGAAAGCAGGUCAUAGUGAUCCGGUGGUUCUGAAUGGAAGGGCCAUCGCUCAACGGAUAAAAGGUACUCCGGGGAUAACAGGCUGAUACCGCCCAAGAGUUCAUAUCGACGGCGGUGUUUGGCACCUCGAUGUCGGCUCAUCACAUCCUGGGGCUGAAGUAGGUCCCAAGGGUAUGGCUGUUCGCCAUUUAAAGUGGUACGCGAGCUGGGUUUAGAACGUCGUGAGACAGUUCGGUCCCUAUCUGCCGUGGGCGCUGGAGAACUGAGGGGGGCUGCUCCUAGUACGAGAGGACCGGAGUGGACGCAUCACUGGUGUUCGGGUUGUCAUGCCAAUGGCACUGCCCGGUAGCUAAAUGCGGAAGAGAUAAGUGCUGAAAGCAUCUAAGCACGAAACUUGCCCCGAGAUGAGUUCUCCCUGACUCCUUGAGAGUCCUGAAGGAACGUUGAAGACGACGACGUUGAUAGGCCGGGUGUGUAAGCGCAGCGAUGCGUUGAGCUAACCGGUACUAAUGAACCGUGAGGCUUAACCUUACAACGCCGAAGCUGUU
Molecule: ribosomal RNA, 2930 nt
Filed under: Escherichia coli
Lineage: Bacteria; Pseudomonadati; Pseudomonadota; Gammaproteobacteria; Enterobacterales; Enterobacteriaceae
Description: 23S ribosomal RNA
Rfam family: Bacterial large subunit ribosomal RNA
Source: RNAcentral